UGCCAGCCGCCGCGGUAAUACGGAGGGAGCGAGCGUUAAUCGGAAUUACUGGGCGUAAAGCGCGCGUAGGCGGUUUCGUAAGUCGGAUGUGAAAGCCCUGGGCUUAACCUGGGAAUGGCAUUCGAUACUGCGUAACUAGAGUAUGGUAGAGGGAAGUGGAAUUUCCGGUGUAGCGGUGAAAUGCGUAGAUAUCGGAAGGAACACCAGUGGCGAAGGCGGCUUACUGGACCGGUACUGACGCUGAGGUACGAAAGCGUGGGGAGCGAACAGGAUUAGAUA
Molecule: ribosomal RNA, 279 nt
Filed under: uncultured bacterium
Lineage: Bacteria
Description: partial 16S ribosomal RNA
Rfam family: Bacterial small subunit ribosomal RNA
Source: RNAcentral